This 920-nucleotide long non-coding RNA is filed under the name Apis mellifera (honey bee). Its description in RNAcentral is "uncharacterized LOC102655053, transcript variant X2". Lineage: Eukaryota; Metazoa; Arthropoda; Insecta; Hymenoptera; Apidae. The record is from RNAcentral.
AUUAUAUAUAUUAUUAUAAAAUUUUCGAAAUCAAACGAUUAUGUUGUAGCCACGUUACGUCUAACAUGGAGUAGGGUUCCAUGUGAUCACAAUCCGAUAUUGACUCGAGAGUAUUCGGAUAAGUCCGGAUUCAUUCGUUUUCAUUCGUUCAUAUACAACGUUGAAAUUCUUUGCAUUAUUCUUUGUUAUCGAAAUUUCAGGUCUUUUUAUAUAUUUUUCUAUUUUUCAUCUAUAUUUUUUUUGGUGUUGAAGUUAAUCAUUUACUUUAUCGACCACAUAAAAAUUGGUAUUUGUUAUACACGUGACAAUAAACGAGAAAUUCCAUUCUUUUGUUGAGAAUAUACUGAAGCAGUGAAUUAUAAAUACAUCAUUGUUAAAACAUCGUGAAAUAAAAGAUGGAAAAGUAUACAAUAGUGUGAUAAUAACUUCAAUUCUGCAGUAAAUUAGAACAUACAAAUAAUAUAGAAACUAUAUCAAAUAAAGUAGAUCAUUUGACUUCUAUAGUCCAUGGCAUAAUCAGGAAUUAAGAAAAUUCACAUAUGAGAAAAGAGAAAAAUAAGUAGUCGUUAAAUAAAGGUUAUAUAAUGAAAGGAAAUGAGAAAUGAACGAGUAUUUAUUUAUUAUUAUUUGUAUGCAUAUAUUUAUUAAUCUCAGUUUUCACAAGACACGAAGUGUAUCCUGUAUGCUUUGAAGAAUGGAAUUUUAACAAUGAAUGGAAUAUUAUCAUUAUCUUCUUUUUGAUAGAACCAACGCAUAUUUCAUUUAAUAUGAGAUAUUAAGUUUAUAUAUUUAAAUAUUUAAAUAUUAAAUAUUUUAUUUAUAUUGUAUUUAACAAUUAGUGUUUUAUUAGUUUCUAUCUAGUGUACUAUGUAUUUAUUGCUACUAAAUGUUAACAAUUAUAAUAAAUAAUUAAAUAUUAA